GUGAGACCCCGAGGCUCUGCCCGCGCCGGGCUUCUCGGUAGCUGGAUGCAUGUCGUGCUGGGGCAGCGCGGGCGCAGGGCACGCGUUCGCGCACACCCGCGCACACACGAAAACGCGCAAGAGCUGAACCGAGCCGGGUUUCCAUUUCAAAAAAGGAGACAGCCUCUACUGCGAAUGUAGAAGAGACCGAGGUGUGAAUUAGGGACCAGGAGGCGUCGAGCGGCGGAACGGUCCAUCUCAGAGCCUGGAGGUGCGUCCCGGAUCCCAGUGUACGUCUAGCAAGGAGGCUGCGCCCCAGAGAGUCCGGGGAGCGCCGCCGGCUGGUGCCCGGCGCGCCAGGCCAUGCAACGGCGGCAGCGGCGGAGCUCAGAAC
This 373-nucleotide long non-coding RNA is filed under the name Equus caballus (horse). RNAcentral's name for it is "lncRNA (ENSECAG00000059625.1)". The stretch from base 263 to 373 matches the Rfam family "TrkB IRES", at positions 1 to 111 of the family's 352-position model. Lineage: Eukaryota; Metazoa; Chordata; Mammalia; Perissodactyla; Equidae. The record is from RNAcentral.